UACAGAGGUCUCAAGCGUUGUUCGGAUUCAUUGGGCGUAAAGGGCGCGUAGGCGGCGGGGUAAGUCUGGUGUGAAAUCUCGGAGCUCAACUCCGAAAUUGCACUGGAUACUGCUCUGCUUGAGGGUUGGAGAGGAGAUCGGAAUUCACGGUGUAGCAGUGAAAUGCGUAGAUAUCGUGAGGAAGACCAGUGGCGAAGGCGGAUCUCUGGACAAAUCCUGACGCUGAGGCGCGAAGGUCAGGGGAGCAAACGGG
Molecule: ribosomal RNA, 253 nt
Filed under: uncultured bacterium
Lineage: Bacteria
Description: partial 16S ribosomal RNA
Rfam family: Bacterial small subunit ribosomal RNA
Source: RNAcentral